The sequence is a regulatory RNA element, 118 nucleotides long. It matches the Rfam family "PyrR binding site". Rfam says of the family: This family represents the PyrR binding site and terminator structure. This RNA structure is found upstream of a variety of genes involved in pyrimidine biosynthesis and transport. The record is from Rfam.
AAAACCUUUUAAAGAAUUGUCCAGAGAGGCAAAAAAGGGGACUUAUGAUGGGUUGCAUUGUUUUUUACGCUACCCUCAUACCUCCUACAGCCUCGCAAAUUUGCGAGGCGUUUUUAUU